This 165-nucleotide ribosomal RNA is filed under the name uncultured bacterium. Its description in RNAcentral is "partial 16S rRNA". It matches the Rfam family "Bacterial small subunit ribosomal RNA", at positions 355 to 511 of the family's 1533-position model. The record is from RNAcentral.
UAGGGAAUCUUCGGCAACGGACGAAAGUCUGACCGAGCAACGCCGCGUGAGUGAAGAAGGUUUUCGGAUCGUAAAACUCUGUUGGUAGAGAAGAACGUUGGUGAGAGUGGAAAGCUCAUCAAGUGACGGUAACUACCCAGAAAGGGACGGCUAACUACGUGCCAC